AGCUAAAGUGCCCAAGGAAAUGGAACAGCAGGGAGAGGGGACAUCACACACACCACCAAAACCUCUUCUUCAUCAUGGCCUAUGAACAGCCAAAGGGUAAAAUGAUCAGAAAACUGGACAGUUUUUGACAGUCUGUAAGUAACUACUGUGGCCUACUCAACUGCCUGGCCUUUUGAAAAGCACACUUAGAAGCUGGUGAUGUCCAUGGGACCACAUACCGGGAAAUGACAGAGACUAUUUUCAGAGAAGAGAAUGUCCCAGCUAGAAAUGCAAGUGGACGAGUGCCAACCCGAUGAGGCCAAUGAUUUGCGAGUGGAGACCUCUGAGGAACUUGGUAAAGAAAGCAGGGCUUUGGCCUUCGCCCGGGAGGCUUGGGACCCCUGACCACCCCCUGCCCCAUCACCAAUAAACAGACAGGAAGGAGGAAUUCAGGGACAGCCUUCAGAAAGGAGUGGCUAUCCACUGGCCACAGCGAUGACUAAAGAGAGGUUCAUGCCACAGCAGAACACAAACGGCGCCAAAGCUGUCUAAAGCAGACACUGAGUUUAUUAUUUGCUGAAGAAGGGGAGUGACCCAUUUCAUUAAGAAAGGUCAGAACAGCUCUCCAAACUGAAGGUAAACAGGACGGACACACUGUGGAAAAGAGGACAUUUUGUUUAAAGGUCUGAUUGGCUUAAUUGUAAACUCUCUUGAGGGAGUGGCUGCUGUUCUGGUUGUGUGUCACAGAGACUUGAGAACAGCUCGCAGGAGAUCCUGGAUGAUCUGACCUGUGGUGCACGGCCCUGGCAGCCUGGUGUCUGUGCCUCCUCUCGUUGAGAUGAGAUUUUUCUCUGGCACCCACUUGGGUUAAGAGUGAGAAGCCCUGGGGCCCAUGGGCCUGCUGCAUGACUCUGUACCCAUCACCUGGCACAUAUGCAGACUUCCUGGUCACAGGGAUGAGGAAACCACAUGAAAAGCAGUUGGAGAAAUUUGUUACCAUGCAGCCAUCCUAUUUUCUAAACAGGAAAACUGAGUUGCAGAGAGCGAAGCCCCAGUAAGUUGGAGGAUAGAUGAUUAAAAUGCUGCUGAAUAAGGGAGAAAAAGGCAAACUGGAAAGACCUAACCCCAAAUUAGUCAUGUCCAAAUCCUGGUAGGAAGAUUACAAGAGAUUUUUAUUUUCUCUCCUGUA
Long non-coding RNA from Homo sapiens (human), 1168 nucleotides. Ensembl annotates it as long intergenic non-protein coding RNA 2367. The record is from Ensembl. Lineage: Eukaryota; Metazoa; Chordata; Mammalia; Primates; Hominidae.